This 305-nucleotide ribosomal RNA is filed under the name uncultured bacterium. RNAcentral's name for it is "bacterial SSU rRNA". It matches the Rfam family "Bacterial small subunit ribosomal RNA", at positions 335 to 657 of the family's 1533-position model. The record is from RNAcentral.
UUUCCUACGGGACGCAGCAGUGGGGGAUAUUGCACAAUGGGGGGAACCCUGAUGCAGCGACGCCGCGUGGGUGAAGGAGCGUUUCGGCGCGUAAAGCCCUAUCGGCAGGGAAGAAGAUGACGGUACCUGACCAAGAAGCCCCGGCUAACUACGUGCCAGCAGCCGCGGUAAUACGUAGGGGGCAAGCGUUAUCCGGAUUUACUGGGUGUAAAGGGAGCGUAGACGGCGGUGCAAGCCAGAUGUGAAAGCCCGGGGCUCAACCCCGGGACUGCAUUUGGAACUGUGCUGCUAGAGUGUCGGAGAGG